This 1334-nucleotide long non-coding RNA is filed under the name Astyanax mexicanus (Mexican tetra). RNAcentral's name for it is "lncRNA (ENSAMXG00005014855.1)". Lineage: Eukaryota; Metazoa; Chordata; Actinopteri; Characiformes; Acestrorhamphidae. The record is from RNAcentral.
AGUGGAGACCCAUGCAAGAUUUGGAUUUCAGCACUGGACAGCUCCCAAGAUAUAUCAAUUAAGAGUUCAACUCAAGUAAAGAGGCUUUUAUUGUCAUUACAUCUGCUGAGUACAGGUACACAGGGUAACGAAAUUACGAAUUGCAAACUUGUAAUGAUAAAACUAUAACACUACAAUAAAUACAGUAAAUGCAACAGACAAUACAGUUUAAAAGACAGGACAGAGCAGUACCGAUUCGGUAUAAUAAUGUGCAUUGGGAGGAUAAGGUGCAUAUAUAUGUAACAUACUGUAACAUAUAGAACAUACAUGAUUACAACAGUUACUGAAAGUUUAUAGUUCUAUAGAAUAAAGCAGCAAAUAUUGCUGAUAGCCAUAGAGACAUUUUAAUCUGUGUGUGUGUAAGUAAAGUGAUGGGUGGGUUCAGUACAGUCUCUGCGUGUUGAGGAGUCUGACUGCCUGGUGGAAGAAGCUGUUGCAGAGUCUGCAUGACUCCUGUAUCUUCUGUCGAACCCGACCUGACCUGGGGCCUGACCCAACAAAAGUAGUCUGUGACGUAGACGUGUCAGGAAUGGGUGCAGGCAGGAAGACAUGCAGGCGGACACAAAUGCAGGAUUGACGCAGGAGCAGAGAGAGGAUGCAGAGAGCAGACGAAAAUAACUGUAUAUUUUACUACCAGCAGAAGAAGAAGAGUACCCAGACCUGUGGGGCAGGGCUGGACUGGGUGUGGGUGGGGAAGCAGCAGUGCUACAUCGUGAAUCAUAGUUUUUCAUUACGAGCUGUGAUCUCUCCGAGGAUACACACCUGCCUCCAACACACAUGCAUGCACACAGCUGUGUUACCAUGGAGACGCAGCCAACCAAUGACAGGCGCUGAUUUUCCCUCCAGGGACUCUGCUGACCUAAAAGGGAACGGGGUGCAUUUAUUUUCUGGUAAAGCCAUCUUUAGUGACUCUGAAGUGUAAAUUAUACCAAUCCUGCCUCAGCACGGCUAAUUUUAGCCUGAAAGUACAGAGAGAGACUCACACACACAGAAAUAUGUGUGAGAUUAUGUACUGUAUGUAUUAUGUAUUUUAAUUAGAAGAACAGUAAAAAAUACCAGUACUGUUAUUAAGAUAAUAUAAUAUAAUUAUUUGCUGUAAAUGUAAUUACGUGUGUGUGUGUGUGUGUUUCUUCCCAUAUUCUCAGUAGUGGGUGGAGUUUAUGCUAUGUGCAGCUGAAUCUGUUGCUAGGCAAGAACAGUAAGGGCUGUCACCUCUCAGCCAAUCAGGUGUUGCUGCACAGCUCCUGUUCCGAUUAACCAAUAAAGUGUUCAAUUCAUUCUUUAGUUCUUCUACA